This 1363-nucleotide ribosomal RNA is filed under the name metagenome. RNAcentral's name for it is "bacterial SSU rRNA". It matches the Rfam family "Bacterial small subunit ribosomal RNA". The record is from RNAcentral.
AGAGUUUGAUCCUGGCUCAGGACGAACGCUGGCGGCACGCUUAACACAUGCAAGUCGAACGAGAGAAGAGGAGCUUGCUUUUCUGAUCUAGUGGCGGACGGGUGAGUAACACGUGAGCAAUCUGCCUUUCAGAGGGGGAUACCGAUUGGAAACGAUCGUUAAUACCGCAUAACAUAAUUGAACCGCAUGAUUUGAUUAUCAAAGAUUUAUCGCUGAAAGAUGAGCUCGCGUCUGAUUAGCUAGUUGGUAAGGUAACGGCUUACCAAGGCGACGAUCAGUAGCCGGACUGAGAGGUUGAUCGGCCACAUUGGGACUGAGACACGGCCCAGACUCCUACGGGAGGCAGCAGUGGGGAAUAUUGCACAAUGGAGGAAACUCUGAUGCAGCGAUGCCGCGUGAGGGAAGAAGGUUUUAGGAUUGUAAACCUCUGUCUUCAGGGACGAAAAAAGACGGUACCUGAGGAGGAAGCUCCGGCUAACUACGUGCCAGCAGCCGCGGUAAUACGUAGGGAGCGAGCGUUGUCCGGAGUUACUGGGUGUAAAGGGAGCGUAGGCGGGAUCGCAAGUCAGAUGUGAAAACUAUGGGCUUAACCCAUAAACUGCAUUUGAAACUGUGGUUCUUGAGUGAAGUAGAGGUAAGCGGAAUUCCUAGUGUAGCGGUGAAAUGCGUAGAUAUUAGGAGGAACAUCAGUGGCGAAGGCGGCUUACUGGGCUUUAACUGACGCUGAGGCUCGAAAGCGUGGGGAGCAAACAGGAUUAGAUACCCUGGUAGUCCACGCCGUAAACGAUGAUUACUAGGUGUGGGGGGACUGACCCCUUCCGUGCCGCAGCAAACGCAAUAAGUAAUCCACCUGGGGAGUACGACCGCAAGGUUGAAGCUCAAAGGAAUUGACGGGGGCCCGCACAAGCAGUGGAGUAUGUGGAUUAAUUCGAAGCAACGCGAAGAACCUUACCAGGUCUUGACAUCGUAUGCAUAGCUCAGAGAUGAGUGAAAUCUCUUCGGAGACAUAUAGACAGGUGGUGCAUGGUUGUCGUCAGCUCGUGUCGUGAGAUGUUGGGUUAAGUCCCGCAACGAGCGCAACCCUUACUGUUAGUUGCUACGCAAGAGCACUCUAGCAGGACUGCCGUUGACAAAACGGAGGAAGGUGGGGAUGACGUCAAAUCAUCAUGCCCCUUUUGACCUGGGCCUCACACGUACUACAAUGGCUGUCAACAGAGGGAAGCAAAGCCGCGAGGUGGAGCGAACCCCUAAAAGCAGUCUUAGUUCGGAUUGUAGGCUGCAACCCGCCUACAUGAAGUCGGAAUUGCUAGUAAUCGCAGAUCAGCAUGCUGCGGUGAAUACGUUCCCGGGCCUUGUACAUACC